Molecule: ribosomal RNA, 774 nt
Filed under: uncultured Neocallimastigales
Lineage: Eukaryota; Fungi; Neocallimastigomycota; Neocallimastigomycetes; Neocallimastigales
Description: partial large subunit ribosomal RNA
Rfam family: Eukaryotic large subunit ribosomal RNA
Source: RNAcentral
UAUGUGAUCGUCUCUCGCAUAUCAAUAAGCGGAGGAAAAGAAACUAACAAGGAUUCCCCUAGUAACGGCGAGUGAAGCGGGAAGAGCUCAAAUUUGAAAGCUUAAAGGGUUUCCCUUUACGAAUUGUAGUUUAAAGAAGUGUUUUCUGUUGAGGUUUUGGUAAAAGUUCUUUGGAAUAGGACAUCAUAGAGGGUGAGAAUCCCGUAUUUGACCUUUACUUUCAACUUUGUGAUACACUUUCAAAGAGUCGGAUUGUUUGGGAAUGCAGUCCAAAAUGGGUGGUAAAUUUCAUCUAAAGCUAAAUAUUGGCGAGAGACCGAUAGCGAACAAGUACCGUGAGGGAAAGAUGAAAAGAACUUUGAAAAGAGAGUUAAACAGUACGUGAAAUUGUCAAAAGGGAAGCGUUUGACACCAGUGUUGUUUUUCUGAAAAUCAAUUAAAGAACUGUUUAUGCUAAGCUGUUUAGACUUUAUCAGCUAUCUGUUUAGUUUUGAGCUUUUCUUUAAUGCACUUUUCAGUUAACAAGUCAACAUCAAUUUCUUUUGCUGUAAAAAAGCUUGAGGAAGGUGGCUUGAGAUUCGUCUUAAGUGUUUAUAGCCUCUUGCCUAUGCAGUCGGAGAGAUUGAGGUCUGCAGCGUAGAUCCUUCGGGGCUAAAUGCAUUUGUGCUAAGUUAUAGCAUUUUAUAGACAACUUGUUGACUAUGAUUUGUCUUGUAGCUUACUCGCUUAUGUUAUUUUACCUACGCUUAGGAUGUUGAAGACUCUACAGAGAUA